ACCCCUCCUUUCUCUGCCUCGAGCACGCACGGCACGGUGCGGCGCGCACGCACGCACGCUUCUCAACUCCCCCAGGUCUCCGCGACCGCGAGGCCAGAAGUGGGAGGAGGCGACCCCGACUCUGCCCACUCGCCACCCCACCCCCGCCCCCCUCCUUCUCCACCACCCCGCGUCGCCGAUCGAGAACCCUAGUUCGGGGUUGCGGCCUCGCCCCUCCCGCCCUGCCGCCGCCGCCGUCGCUGCUCGAGCUCGGCCGGCCCGCCGCGAUGGAUCUGUCCAACCUGACCCUGGUGCUGCGCGCGGCGCUCAGCCACGCCCCCGAGGAGCGCAAAGCCGCUGAGGCCAGCCUCGAGCAGCUUCAGUAUACGCAACAACAUCUGGUGAGAUUGUUACAGAUCAUCGUAGAUGGAAGUUGUGAUAUGGCUGUGAGACAGGUCGCAAGCAUUCACUUCAAGAACUUUGUUUCAAAAGCCUGGUCACCUAUUGAUCCUGAUGAAACACGUAAAAUUCCAGAAGGUGACAAGUCUAUGGUUCGUGAGAAUAUACUGGGCUUUGUUACUCAAUUGCCUCCACUGCUAAGAGCACAGCUUGGAGAAAGUAUCAAGACCUUGAUCCUUGCGGAUUACCCUGAGCAUUGGCCUAGUCUUCUACAUUGGGUUACACAUAACAUGGAAUCACAGGAUCAAAUUUUCGGAGCACUUUAUGUGCUAAGGAUCCUAUCCCGGAAAUAUGAGUUCAAGUCAGAGGAGGAAAGGAUACCUUUGUAUCAAAUUGUUGAGGAGUGUUUUCCUCGUUUGUUGAAUAUAUUCAGCACACUUGUCCAGAUUGCCAAUCCUCCAAUUGAAGUUGCUGACUUGAUCAAGCUGAUCUGCAAAAUAUUCUGGUCCUCAAUUUAUCUAGAAAUUCCAAAGCAACUGUUUGAACCAAACAUCUUCAAUGCAUGGAUUGUUCUAUUCUUAAACUUGUUGGAAAGGCCAGUUCCAUUGGAAGGGCAACCAUCGGAUCCUGACGCUAGGAAAGCUUGGGGCUGGUGGAAAGUCAAGAAAUGGAUUACCCAUAUCUUGAACCGUUUAUACAGUCGGUUUGCUGAUAUGAAGGUUCAUAAACCAGAGAGUAAAGCUUUUGCUCAAAUGUUUCAAAAGAACUAUGCUGGAAAAAUUCUGGGAUGCCAUCUACAGUUGCUCAAUGCAAUUCGCACUGGUGGCUAUUUGCCUGAUAGGGUUAUCAAUCUUAUCCUUCAAUAUCUCACCAACAGUCUCACAAAGAACAGCAUGUAUCAGCUGAUGCAACCACAAAUCGACAUAAUUCUUUUUGAGAUAAUAUUUCCACUAAUGUGCUUCAAUGACAAUGACCAAAUGUUAUGGGAUGAAGAUCCGCAUGAGUAUGUUCGGAAAGGCUAUGAUAUAAUUGAAGAUUUGUAUAGUCCUCGAACAGCUGCUAUGGAUUUUGUCAGCGAAUUGGUAAGAAAACGGGGGAAAGGCAACCUACAAAAGUUUAUCCAAUUCAUUGUGGAGAUAUUCAUGAGGUAUAAUGAGGCAUCAAUUGAAGUGAAGCCCUAUCGCCAAAAAGAUGGUGCCCUUCUUGCCAUUGGGACAUUAUGUGAUAGGCUGAAACAAACUGAUCCGUACAAGGCUGAGCUAGAGCGAAUGUUAGUUCAGCAUGUCUUUCCAGAGUUCAGUAGUCAUGUUGGACAUUUGCGUGCGAAGGCAGCAUGGGUGGCAGGGCAGUAUGCGCACAUCACCUUCUCAGACCAGGACAAUUUUCGCAAAGCUAUGCAUUGUGUUAUCUCUGGUUUGCGUGAUCCAGAACUUCCUGUCAGGGUCGAUUCAGUCUUUGCUCUCCGUUCUUUCGUUGAAGCAUGCAAGGAUCUGGAUGAGAUCCGUCCUAUCCUUCCACAGCUUCUUGAUGAAUUUUUUAAGCUUAUGGGUGAAGUUGAGAAUGAGGAUCUUGUUUUCACUCUCGAGACAAUUGUUGAUAGAUUUGGUGAAGAGAUGGCACCAUAUGCCCUUGGCUUGUGCCAGAGUUUGGCUGCUGCCUUCUGGAGAUGCAUGGCUAGUUCAGAAGCUGAUGAUGAAGUAGAGGACUCUGGUGCUUUGGCUGCUGUUGGUUGCUUACGUGCUUUAAGCACAAUCCUUGAGUCCAUUAGCAGUCUUCCCCAUCUUUUUAUCCAAAUAGAGCCCACUCUGUUGCCUAUUUUGCGCAGGAUGUUGACUUCGGAUGGUCAAGAUGUUUAUGAAGAGGUUCUAGAAAUAGUGUCCUAUCUGACCUUUUACUCACCAACAAUUUCUUUGGACAUGUGGAGCUUGUGGCCAUUGAUGAUGGAGGCUCUUAAUGAUUGGGCCAUUGAUUUCUUUGAGAAUAUUCUUGUCCCACUAGACAAUUACAUUUCUCGUGGCACUGAACAUUUUGUUACCUGCAAAGAUCCUGAUUAUCAACAAAGCUUAUGGAAAGGACUGUCAUCUGUUAUGACAGACCAAAAUAUGGAAGAUUCAGAUAUUGUGCCGGCACCCAAGCUCAUUGAAGUGUUUUUUCAAAACUGCAAAGGGCAAGUUGAUCAUUGGGUUGAGCCGUAUCUCAGGCUUACGAUUGAUAGGCUCCGUCGAGCAGAGAAGCCUUAUCUGAAAUCUCUCCUUGUGCAAGUGAUAGCUAACGUAUUCUACUACAAUCCCUCGUUGACACUUGCAAUGUUGCACAAACUUGGAGUUGCGACAGAAAUUUUCAAUCUUUGGUUUGUCAUGUUACAACAAGUGAAAAAAAGUGGCAAGAGGGUGAACUUCAAAAGAGAGCAUGACAAGAAAGUCUGCUGCUUAGGAUUGACUUCACUUAUUGGCCUUCCAGCUAAUCAUAUUCCAGCAGAGGCUCUAGAACGCAUUUUCAAGGCAACACUUGAGCUGCUUGUUGCAUACAAGGAGCAAGUUGCAGAAUCUAAGAGGCAAAAUGAUGCUGCUGAUGAUGAUGUGGAUGAAUUUGAUGCUGAUGAAGAAGAGAAUGAGGAGGAUGAGGAUGAUGGGGAGAUGGGGGUUGAUGACGAAGAUCAGGAUGAAGUAAAUAGUCUUAAUAUACAGAAACUAGUACAGCACCCUGUGAUCACUCUUUACACCCUUGUGGUAAUUCAGGCAAGAGGUUUUCAGCUCCAUGAUGAGGAUGAUGAUGAUGAUGAUUCUGAUGAUGAUUUUAGUGAUGACGAGGAGCUGCAGACCCCGAUAGAUGAGGUUGAUCCAUUUAUCUUCUUUGUUGGAACCAUCCAAGCUGUACAAGCAUCCGACCCAGCCAGGUUCCAGAGCCUUAUGCAAACACUGGAUUUUCACUACCAGGCACUGGCUAAUGGCGUUGCUCAACAUGCCGAGGAAAGAAAAGUUGAAAUUGAGAAAGAGAAGUUGGAGAAAGCAAAUGCACAGUGAUGAAUGAAUUAUAGCAACGGUUGUUUGUCUUGAGUUUUGUUGCAGGCCAGUGCCUGUGAUUUGGUGAUCGCAGGCAAUGGGUUUUUGCAGCCUUGGUCUACUUGUUUUUGGAGGCCUGAGGCACACAAUUCUUGGAAUAGAAGAAGUCAACAACAGAACCAUCGUGGGAUAAUCUCUUGCAGCCUCGGUCUAUUUGUUUAUGGGCGGUGCGAGCCCUACGGAUGAUACUACACACUUGUUAUGAUGCUGUUUUGGUCCAGAGCUCCGGCUCCGUUUGGUUGAUGGAAUUUGUUAAAUGAGCCCUGUGGGUGGGGCGCGUCCCCAAGUUGAUUUAUAGCCUGGAAGGUCCGUGUAGAGUGUAUAUGAUUGGGCGGUUAUCGGUGGAUUACCAAUACGAUGGUUUCAUUUUUUCUUUCUGUCGUUGCAGGAUUCAGUGAAUCCAGUUUUGUCCGUACAAUUUGUUGAACAUCGCUCAAGCAUGUCUCUAUGGUUUGACAGAGGCUGGUGAAAUAAACUUUGCCUGCAUCUGGUAACCUGGAUUUGGUUAUCAUCACCACCAUGCAAUACAGUAUUUUUUUUGGGUGAUAUUUGUCGUCCGAUCAUCAUGAGCAUUCCUGAUUUGUUGCAUUCUGUACACUGCAUGACCGAGUGCAGUCAAAGGAAGAACGAAGACGGAUACUUUGAGAUCUGACCAGUAUGGCCGAGCCCAACGUGCUUUACCUAUUCGGCUUGCAUUAUAUUUGCUUCUACUUACUCUGUUCCAUUAUAAAAAAUAUGUUAAAAUAUACUUUCAUCUAUAUAGGGUUUAAUGCGUUUUUUGAGGCUAAUUUUGACCAAAUGUUAGAGCAAUAAUAUAUGACAUGCAAGUUACAUAAAGCAUAUUGUUAAAUUCGUAUGUGAAAGCAGCUUUUAAUUAUAUAAUUUUU
RNAcentral lists this ribosomal RNA (4327 nucleotides) under Triticum aestivum (bread wheat). RNAcentral describes it as "partial small subunit ribosomal RNA". Lineage: Eukaryota; Viridiplantae; Streptophyta; Magnoliopsida; Poales; Poaceae. The record is from RNAcentral.